RNAcentral lists this ribosomal RNA (253 nucleotides) under uncultured bacterium. RNAcentral's name for it is "partial 16S ribosomal RNA". It matches the Rfam family "Bacterial small subunit ribosomal RNA", at positions 524 to 776 of the family's 1533-position model. The record is from RNAcentral.
UACGUAGGGUGCAAGCGUUGUCCGGAAUUAUUGGGCGUCAAGAGCUCGUAGGCGGUUUGUCGCGUCUGCUGUGAAAACCCGAGGCUCAACCUCGGGCCUGCAGUGGGUACGGGCAGACUAGAGUGCGGUAGGGGAGAUUGGAAUUCCUGGUGUAGCGGUGGAAUGCGCAGAUAUCAGGAGGAACACCAAUGGCGAAGGCAGAUCUCUGGGCCGUAACUGACGCUGAGGAGCGAAAGCAUGGGGAGCGAACAGG